GGACGCAAGUCUGAUCCAGCCAUUCCGCGUGCAGGANGAAGGCCCUCGGGUUGUAAACUGCUUUUGUACGGAACGAAAAGGUCUCUAUUAAUACUAGGGGCUCAUGACGGUACCGUAAGAAUAAGCACCGGCUAANUACGUGCCAGCAGCCGCGGUAAUACGUAGGGUGCAAGCGUUAAUCGGAAUUACUGGGCGUAAAGCGUGCGCAGGCGGUUAUAUAAGACAGAUGUGAAAUCCCCGGGCUCAACCUGGGAACUGCAUUUGUGACUGUAUAGCUAGAGUACGGUAGAGGGGGAUGGAAUUCCGCGUGUAGCAGUGAAAUGCGUAGAUAUGCGGAGGAACACCGAUGGCGAAGGCAAUCCCCUGGACCUGUACUGACGCUCAUGCACGAAAGCGUGGGGAGCAAACAGGAUUAGAUACCCUGGUAGUCCACGCCCUAAACGAUGUCAACCUGGUUGUUGGGUUUUUACUCCCUCCGUNCCG
Molecule: ribosomal RNA, 483 nt
Filed under: uncultured bacterium
Lineage: Bacteria
Description: bacterial SSU rRNA
Rfam family: Bacterial small subunit ribosomal RNA
Source: RNAcentral